RNAcentral lists this ribosomal RNA (510 nucleotides) under uncultured bacterium. RNAcentral describes it as "partial 16S ribosomal RNA". It matches the Rfam family "Bacterial small subunit ribosomal RNA", at positions 28 to 507 of the family's 1533-position model. The record is from RNAcentral.
GACGAACGCUGGCGGCGUGCUUAACACAUGCAAGUCGAACGAAGAGCGAUGGAAGCUUGCUUCUAUCAAUCUUAGUGGCGAACGGGUGAGUAACGCGUAAUCAACCUGCCCUUCAGAGGGGGACAACAGUUGGAAACGACUGCUAAUACCGCAUACGAUCCAAUCUCGGCAUCGGGACGGGAUGAAAGGUGGCCUCUAUUUAUAGGCUAUCACUGGAGGAGGGGAUUGCGUCUGAUUAGGUAGUUGGAGGGGUAACGGCCCACCAAGGCGAUGAUCCGUAGCCGGGCCGAGAGGAUGGACGGCCACCUCGGGAAUGAGAAACGGCCCAGACCUCUAAGGGAGGCAGCAGUGGGGGAACUUCCGCAAUGGACGAAAGUCUGAAGGAGCAACGACGCGGGAGUGAUGACGGCCUUCGGGUUGUAAAGCUCUGUUAAUCGGGACGAAAGGUUCUUGGGCGAAUAGUGCGAGGAUUUGACGGUACCGGAAUAGAAAGCCACGGCUAACUACGUG